CCUACGGGUGGCAGCAGUGAGGAAUAUUGGUCAAUGGGCGCGAGCCUGAACCAGCCAAGUAGCGUGAAGGAUGACUGCCCUACGGGUUGUAAACUUCUUUUAUAAAGGAAUAAAGUGAGGCACGGGUGCCUUUUUGUAUGUACUUUAUGAAUAAGGAUCGGCUAACUCCGUGCCAGCAGCCGCGGUAAUACGGAGGAGCCGAGCGUUAUCCGGAUUUAUUGGGUUUAAAGGGAGAGUAGAUGGGUUGUUAAGUCAGUUGUGAAAGGUUGCGGCUCAAACGUAAAAUUGCAAUUGAUACUGGCAGCCCUGAGUACAGUUGGGGUAGGCCGGAUUCGUUG
RNAcentral lists this ribosomal RNA (338 nucleotides) under uncultured bacterium. Its description in RNAcentral is "partial 16S ribosomal RNA". It matches the Rfam family "Bacterial small subunit ribosomal RNA", at positions 338 to 673 of the family's 1533-position model. The record is from RNAcentral.